Molecule: ribosomal RNA, 395 nt
Filed under: uncultured bacterium
Lineage: Bacteria
Description: bacterial LSU rRNA
Rfam family: Bacterial large subunit ribosomal RNA
Source: RNAcentral
GGACAGAAAGACCCUAUGAAGCUUUACUGUAGCCUGGAAUUGGGUUCGGGCUUUGCUUGCGCAGGAUAGGUGGGAGGCGAUGAAGUUACCCUUGUGGGGGUAGUGGAGCCAACGGUGAGAUACCACUCUGGCGAAGCUAGAAUUCUAACCGCUUGCCGUUAGCCGGCAGUGGAACAGUUUCAGGUGGGCAGUUUGACUGGGGCGGUCGCCUCCUAAAGUGUAACGGAGGCGCGCAAAGGUUCCCUCAGGCUGGUUGGAAAUCAGCCGUAGAGUGUAAAAGCACAAGGGAGCUUGACUGCAAGACCUACAAGUCGAGCAGGGACGAAAGUCGGCUUUAGUGAUCCGACGGUUCCGAGUGGAAGGGCCGUCGCUCAACGGAUAAAAGUUACUCUAGG